Long non-coding RNA from Diceros bicornis minor, 638 nucleotides. RefSeq lists it as uncharacterized. The transcript is spliced from 2 exons. NCBI's taxonomy places the organism in Eukaryota, Metazoa, Chordata, Mammalia, Perissodactyla, Rhinocerotidae. The record is from RefSeq and is a predicted model, not a curated record.
CGUGCACUGGAGGCGGGGCCCCUGGUGCGGAGGUGGCUGCCUCGGAGGUUUGUGUGGGGGGAUUGGUGGUUUCUGGAUCCUUCCUCCAGGAUUUUCAGCGCUGGGGAGCUCUCCUUUCUGCAGUGUGGAGGAGCGCUGGGCAGGAGGCAGCGCUGAGGCAAAAGGAAGAGAGUUUCCAUGCAGGCCGCGGUGAUUGAUCCUGAUUACCAAGAGGAAACUGGACUGCUGCUCCACAAUGGAGGUAAGGAAUACAGGAGACUCCUUAGGGUUUUCUUAGUAUCACGUGCCCUGUGAUUAACGUCAAUGGAAAACUACAAGAAACCAGUCCAGGCAGGACUACGAAUGGCUGUGACCCUUCAGGAAUGAAGGUCAGGUUCUACCACUGAAAUUGAAAAGGGUUUGCAAAGAACCACAACCAGCUGAGGUGCUUGCUGAGGCAAAGGGAAUAUGAAGUGGGUAAUGGAAGAAGGUAGUUAUAAAUACCAGCUAUGAAAGGGUGACUACCUGCAAAAACAUGGAGUGAUUGUUAUAUUUCUUCCUUAUUCAAGUAUGAAUAAGUUUGAGUACUUUUGUGUAUUUUGUACACUAGUUAAAUUUACAUAAGUUUAAAAAAGCAGUAAAAGAUUGAGUGAUAUGUA